AUCCAGCUGACGAGUCCCAAAUAGGAUGAAACGCCCGUCAAACUGGAU
This 48-nucleotide non-coding RNA is filed under the name Schistosoma mansoni. The record is from RNAcentral. Lineage: Eukaryota; Metazoa; Platyhelminthes; Trematoda; Strigeidida; Schistosomatidae.